Molecule: transfer RNA, 86 nt
Filed under: Thermoprotei archaeon
Lineage: Archaea; Thermoproteati; Thermoproteota; Thermoprotei
Description: tRNA-Asn
Rfam family: tRNA
About the family: Transfer RNA (tRNA) molecules are approximately 80 nucleotides in length. Their secondary structure includes four short double-helical elements and three loops (D, anti-codon, and T loops).
Source: RNAcentral
GCCGGGGUAGCUCAGCCUGGUUAGAGCGCCCGGCUGUUACCCCGGCCCGACCGAAGUCCCGGGUUCGAAUCCCGGCCCCGGCGCCA